RNAcentral lists this ribosomal RNA (253 nucleotides) under uncultured bacterium. Its description in RNAcentral is "partial 16S ribosomal RNA". It matches the Rfam family "Bacterial small subunit ribosomal RNA", at positions 524 to 776 of the family's 1533-position model. The record is from RNAcentral.
UACGGAGGGAGCUAGCGUUGUUCGGAAUUACUGGGCGUAAAGCGCGCGUAGGCGGUUUUUCAAGUCAGUGGUGAAAGCCCGGGGCUCAACCCCGGAAUAGCCUUUGAGACUGGAUUGCUAGAAUCUUGGAGAGGCGAGUGGAAUUCCGAGUGUAGAGGUGAAAUUCGUAGAUAUUCGGAAGAACACCAGUGGCGAAGGCGGCUCGCUGGACAAGUAUUGACGCUGAGGUGCGAAAGCGUGGGGAGCAAACAGG